RNAcentral lists this small RNA (29 nucleotides) under Bombyx mori (domestic silkworm). Its description in RNAcentral is "ovarian small RNA-37396". Lineage: Eukaryota; Metazoa; Arthropoda; Insecta; Lepidoptera; Bombycidae. The record is from RNAcentral.
UUCGAUUGCAUAUUCUGUUAUAGCAUUGA